UACGGGGGGGGGAAGCGUUGUUCGGAAUUACUGGGCGUAAGGGGCUCGUAGGCGGCCAACUAAGUCAUACGUGAAAUCCCUCAGCUUAACUGGGGAACUGCGUGUGAUACUGGAUGGCUUGGAUUUGGGAGAGGGAUGCGGAAUUCCAGGUGUAGCGGUGAAAUGCGUAGAUAUCUGGAGGAACACCGGUGGCGAAGGCGGCAUCCUGGACCAACACUGACGCUGAGGAGCGAAAGCCAGGGGAGCAAACGGG
RNAcentral lists this ribosomal RNA (253 nucleotides) under uncultured bacterium. RNAcentral describes it as "partial 16S ribosomal RNA". It matches the Rfam family "Bacterial small subunit ribosomal RNA", at positions 524 to 776 of the family's 1533-position model. The record is from RNAcentral.